This 1070-nucleotide long non-coding RNA is filed under the name Heterocephalus glaber (naked mole-rat). RNAcentral's name for it is "lncRNA (ENSHGLG00000045167.1)". The record is from RNAcentral. Lineage: Eukaryota; Metazoa; Chordata; Mammalia; Rodentia; Bathyergidae.
UUUCAAGAAAUCGUACGGGACCCUCCGCACUCUGCGGCGUGGGGACUUUGUGUGGUUCGCACGGCUGGCGUCCCGGCGGUCUCUCUCCGCCGGGUUCCUCUCAGCGUUGGCUGGUGGGAGUCCGCUCGGAACGUUAAACCACGUUCCAAGCUGCCCUUCCCUCCGCCGUUCGAUUGGCCUGGGCGGGCCUGGACGUCUUCAUUUUUCAGAGCCUGGUCCUUCCGGGAGGCACCGGCGAUUGAGCCCCGUACAGAUCGCCGGGUCCCCUGCACCCCCUCCCACGGUUUGCAUCACAGCCUCCUCCCUCCCUUUCAUUUGUGCUUUCACUCAACAAACAUUAACUUGAUAACCUGGUAUGUACUGGCGACUGUUGGCAGGUUCCAGCGUGAACGGUUCACCCCAGCGGGACUUAACAUCUGCCCUCCCGGCCGCCCUCACCGAAAUCCGCUUUCCUCUCCCUGUGUCCUUGAUCUCUUCGGGUAAAGGGGAGAUGGAAUACAAGAUCCUUGACUAGAGAGUAUUACUUUUCCCUUUCGUCCUUAAGCUACAUUUUGGAUAAAAAUGUAUAGAUUUUCUGGUUCUACGCACAAUUUGUCUAUGCUUGCUGCGUGUAAAAGUGCUGCAUUUGGAGGUUUUCAAAAACAUUCUUUUUGUGUGUAAUACCCGUUCUUUGAAAUUCAAAAACAUAAAGUACGACCGGCAUGGUAGUGCACGCCUGUAAUCCCCGCACUCGGAAAGCUGAGGCAGGAGGAUCGCUGAGUGUUUGAAGCCAACCUGGACUACAUCCCAAAUUCAAGGCCAGCUUGAUCUACACAGUGAGACCCUGUCUCAAAAUAUAAAGUAUGGGGUCUCCCUUUGUAGUCCAGGCUGGCCCUGAACUCACUGUGUAUCCCAGGUUGGCCUCCAGCUCAUCUCGAUUCUCCUGCCUCAGCUUCCCGAGUUCUGGGAUUACAGGCGUGCACCACCACACCCUGCACUUAUUUUUCUUUUUUUUUUCUGGUAUCGGGGAUUGAACUCAAGACCUUGCACUUUCGAGGAAGGCGGCGGAACCACUGAGCUAAAUCCCUGGC